AGUCGAGCGGAGAUGAGGUGCUUGCACCUUAUCUUACGGCGGACGGGUGAGUAAUGCUUAGGAAUCUGCCUAUUAGUGGGGGACAACAUUCCGAAAGGAAUGCUAAUACCGCAUACGUCCUACGGGAGAAAGCAGGGGAUCUUCGGACCUUGCGCUAAUAGAUGAGCCUAAGUCGGAUUAGCUAGUUGGUGGGGUAAAGGCCUACCAAGGCGACGAUCUGUAGCGGGUCUGAGAGGAUGAUCCGCCACACUGGGACUGAGACACGGCCCAGACUCCUACGGGAGGCAGCAGUGGGGAAUAUUGGACAAUGGGGGGAACCCUGAUCCAGCCAUGCCGCGUGUGUGAAGAAGGCCUUAUGGUUGUAAAGCACUUUAAGCGAGGAGGAGGCUACUGAGACUAAUACUCUUGGAUAGUGGACGUUACUCGCAGAAUAAGCACCGGCUAACUCUGUGCCAGCAGCCGCGGUAAUACAGAGGGUGCGAGCGUUAAUCGGAUUUACUGGGCGUAAAGCGUGCGUAGGCGGCUUUUUAAGUCGGAUGUGAAAUCCCCGAGCUUAACUUGGGAAUUGCAUUCGAUACUGAGAAGCUAGAGUAUGGGAGAGGAUGGUAGAAUUCCAGGUGUAGCGGUGAAAUGCGUAGAGAUCUGGAGGAAUACCGAUGGCGAACGCAGCCAUCUGGCCUAAUACUGACGCUGAGGUACGAAAGCAUGGGGAGCAAACAGGGAUUAGAUACCCUGGUAGUCCAUGCCGUAAACGAUGUCUACUAGCCGUUGGGGCCUUGAGGCUUUAGUGGCGCAGCUAACGCGAUAGUAGACCGCCUGGGG
This 822-nucleotide ribosomal RNA is filed under the name uncultured bacterium. RNAcentral's name for it is "bacterial SSU rRNA". It matches the Rfam family "Bacterial small subunit ribosomal RNA", at positions 60 to 878 of the family's 1533-position model. The record is from RNAcentral.